RNAcentral lists this ribosomal RNA (454 nucleotides) under uncultured bacterium. RNAcentral describes it as "bacterial SSU rRNA". It matches the Rfam family "Bacterial small subunit ribosomal RNA", at positions 340 to 786 of the family's 1533-position model. The record is from RNAcentral.
UACGGAAGGCAGCAGUGGGGAAUAUUGCACAAUGGGCGAAAGCCUGAUGCAGCUAUGCCGCGUGUAUGAAGAAGGCCUUAGGGUUGUAAAGUACUUUCAUCGGGGAGGAAAAACAAAACUAAUAAUUUUAUUUCUUGACGUUACCCGAAAAAGAAGCACCGGCUAACUCCGUGCCAGCAGCCGCGGUAAUACGGAGGGUGCUAGCGUUAAUCAGAAUUACUGGGCGUAAAGAGCACGUAGGUGGUUUUUUUAAGUCAGAUGUGAAAUCCCUGGGCUUAACCUAGGAACUGCAUUUUGAAACUGAAUACUAGAGUAUCGUAGAGGGAGGUAGAAUUCUAGGUGUAGCGGUGAAAUGCGUAGAUAUCUGGAGGAAUACCUGUGGCGAAAGCGGCCUCCUAAACGAAUACUGACACUGAGGUGCGAAAGCGUGGGGAGCAAACAGGGAUUAGAUACC